RNAcentral lists this ribosomal RNA (693 nucleotides) under Faecalibacterium prausnitzii. Its description in RNAcentral is "bacterial SSU rRNA". It matches the Rfam family "Bacterial small subunit ribosomal RNA", at positions 439 to 1158 of the family's 1533-position model. Lineage: Bacteria; Bacillati; Bacillota; Clostridia; Eubacteriales; Oscillospiraceae. The record is from RNAcentral.
GUGAGGAAGAUAAUGACGGUACUCAACAAGGAAGUGACGGCUAACUACGUGCCAGCAGCCGCGGUAAAACGUAGGUCACAAGCGUUGUCCGGAAUUACUGGGUGUAAAGGGAGCGCAGGCGGGAAGACAAGUUGGAAGUGAAAUCCAUGGGCUCAACCCAUGAACUGCUUUCAAAACUGUUUUUCUUGAGUAGUGCAGAGGUAGGCGGAAUUCCCGGUGUAGCGGUGGAAUGCGUAGAUAUCGGGAGGAACACCAGUGGCGAAGGCGGCCUACUGGGCACCAACUGACGCUGAGGCUCGAAAGUGUGGGUAGCAAACAGGAUUAGAUACCCUGGUAGUCCACACUGUAAACGAUGAUUACUAGGUGUUGGAGGAUUGACCCCUUCAGUGCCGCAGUUAACACAAUAAGUAAUCCACCUGGGGAGUACGACCGCAAGGUUGAAACUCAAAGGAAUUGACGGGGGCCCGCACAAGCAGUGGAGUAUGUGGUUUAAUUCGACGCAACGCGAAGAACCUUACCAAGUCUUGACAUCCCUUGACGAUGCUGGAAACAGUAUUUCUCUUCGGAGCAAGGAGACAGGUGGUGCAUGGUUGUCGUCAGCUCGUGUCGUGAGAUGUUGGGUUAAGUCCCGCAACGAGCGCAACCCUUAUGGUCAGUUACUACGCAAGAGGACUCUGGCCAGACUGCGUUGGA